UACGUAGGGUGCGAGCGUUAAUCGGAAUUACUGGGCGUAAAGCGUGCGCAGGCGGUUUUGUAAGCCAGAUGUGAAAGCCCCGGGCUUAACCUGGGAAUGGCAUUUGGGACUGCAAGGCUUGAGUUUGGCAGAGGAGACUGGAAUUCCUGGUGUAGCAGUGAAAUGCGUAGAUAUCAGAAGGAAUACCGAUGGCGAAGGCAGGUCUCUGGGACUGAAACUGACGCUCGAUGCACGAAAGCGUGGGGAGCAAACAGG
RNAcentral lists this ribosomal RNA (255 nucleotides) under uncultured bacterium. Its description in RNAcentral is "partial 16S ribosomal RNA". It matches the Rfam family "Bacterial small subunit ribosomal RNA", at positions 524 to 776 of the family's 1533-position model. The record is from RNAcentral.